Molecule: long non-coding RNA, 1806 nt
Organism: Dromaius novaehollandiae (emu)
Lineage: Eukaryota; Metazoa; Chordata; Aves; Casuariiformes; Dromaiidae
Exons: 3
Source: RefSeq, a predicted model, not a curated record
UCCCUCUUUCCCUCUCUCCCUCUCUCCCGCGCCGCCGUCGGGCUCCGGGUUGGGAAGGCCGCGCCGCUGGGGAGCUGCACGCGGGUUUUUAAAAAAAUAAAAAUACCCAAAUCCUUCUCAGCGGGGUUUCUGGCCUCGGGGCGGGGGCGCCGGGGUGGCGCGAGGGCCAAGCCGCUGAAAUCCGGGGGGAAAAUGGCGCGGGGCGCGAUGCUGGCCGCCCCCUCGGGCUGGGUGCAGUGCGGCCUUGGGCAGAAAAGUGGUUUUUACCCUUUUUCCUACUUCCGUGAACGGCCGGUGUAGUGUAACACUGUAUUUUUUACAGGAGGGACACCCCCAACCCCUCGAUAUAUAAUACCGUUUUAUUAAUUACUCAAUUUAAUCAAUUAGGUGCGUGCGGCAGCCACAGGCAGGCUGCGACUUUCCCGCCGUGCCUGUGUGCGCCAUAAAAAGCCUUGAAGCGCUGCUGCUUGCCCGUUUUUCGGGGAGCGCGAGGCCGGCGCGUUGGGCAAGGCCUUGCCGGGCUGCGGUGAGGACGGCGAAGCAGCCAGGGGCUUCAUGGCCCACGCCAACAUCAGCCCGGCAGCCUGUGCCGGGGCAAGCAGGCAGCGGGGGGACGCCAAGCCCAGCCUGGCCGUCCCCGCUCCGCUAGCCGAGCCGUGGGCACCUUCCGGGGUCUGCGGCGGCCAGGUGAGCUGCCCCGGCUCUGGGCCGGCAGCUGUCCGGUGGGUUUUGGCGUCUGCAGACACUGUCUGGAGCGGUUCCUCGCGGCGAGUUCAUUGAAAUGCAGUCCAUGCAGAGCGUUCUCCACUGCCACUGAUGUGUGGAAAUCUCGCAGAACCAAGAAUGUGUUUUCUCCCUGGUAGCUGGUCUUGGGGAAGACAAAAAAAACCUCCUUAUUAGGAGUAAUGGAAAUUUUAGACGCCCAAUGAUACAUGGGGGAAGCCGGUGGUCAACCAGAACUGCGUGCGAGAGGAAGCAAUCAGCAAAAAGUGAUUUGAGGACGCCGUGUCCAGUAUGAAAUCAAGUCCGCUGAUUAAAGAAGCCACAAAGUUUUGAAUACGCCUGUCACUCGCAAACAAGAUCGAUCCGCAGGGAUCGGCACGUCGGCCAGUUCCGGCUCCCUCCCGGCGGGGUCCUGCGGAAGAACGGAGCGCUUCCCCCCGGGAGCCGCCGGCCGGUGCCCCGCAGCUGCCCAGCGUCCCCACGUUGGGGAGCGAGGAGGGACACGCUGGAAGGAGGGAGAGAAGAGGGGAGCCUCGCUCGAGAGGGCCGGGAAAAGCCUGAUAACUACCCGAGCUGGGGAGCACUUUGGUAUCGUAACUUAUUCAUGACCUGUCCUAACGUCAGAGCUGGCCCCACUUUGAGCGGGGGACGGGGCUAAGUGGUUCCCGAGGUCCUUCCAGCCAAAACACGGCGGCGCAGGUACCGGCUCCCCUUGCCCAGGGCUGCCUGGGCCCCCCAGGUGCAGAGCAGGGAUUUGUCAAUGUAGGGACACCCCAGCGCGCACACCACAUCUUGGGUCCCCAAGGAGCUUUCUUGCCCUCGCCGCAGCCCAUAAGGAGCCCGGCUCGCUUGGGCGAGCGAGGUGUCGCCUCGGUGAUGCUACGCGGCUGUGAACUCCAGCAGCAAGCGCUGGAGGGCUGGUUUCUGCUCCCGCCUAACAGGGCAGCCGGGGUGUGGGGGGUCUGGCAUCGCCAGGGGAUAUCACUAGUCCGAGCUACCGGCAAUAAAAUGCCUUGAAUGAUGCAGCAAAACAGACUGGAAUCGCAUGUCGAAAUAAAUCAUCCAUGGAAGCAGUGCACAGAG